AGUUUGCAGAGAUUUUCUUCGAACAUGGGGUGGUGAUGCGAUGACAUUCCCCACCCAGAGCCGUUGGAAGUUCACGGGCGGGCGGAUAAGGUGGGAUCAGGGCUUGGUGCUAGAUUAGUGACGUGCCAACAAGACGGUGUGAGGAGCUGCUGGCAGGAGGAGCCAAUACUGGGGAAAUUUACAAUCGAGUGCGGGAUUUCAGUUCGGGCCCGUACCUUUCAGGAGGAGCCAUCAGCCUCCCACACUGGGGGAGCAUCCUGCUGAUGUCGCAGAGGGAAAGAGGAUGCACAGUUUCUGAUUGAACAUGAUCUAUUAGACCCCCAACAUAUUAAAAUGUGACGUGAUUGCAUGGCUAUGGUCUGAAGGCAUUCUAUCAUGCUGAAACUGCUGCUUCCAGAAUUCCCACUUCUGACUUCACUGUGAGCUUUCCAUGUUAUCAAAUGACAAAGUCUCCACUGGAGCCGCCUUUGGACUAUCACACCUGAUUGACCUGGGCACAUGAACAAUUUUCAAAUUAUACGGUUGAAGAAUUAUGCUCCAUCAAAAUAACGGUUGUAAGUUUGUGCUGUGAAAUGUACCUAAGAAAAUCAAACAAUUUGAAAAACAGGAGGAAAGCAGCCUACAGUAGGACAAAAAGAGUCAAGAUGAGUGGCUGUCAUUCAGCUCCUCACCCUUUAUGUGAACAGCAGCCAAAUUCGAAACAUACGUCUGACCAUUUCCAAGCCCUGAACUAUAAUCAGAUGCUGUCUUUGACCUACUAUGCCAGUACCCUCUGGCCAAAAGCUAUCCUUCUUGACCUGACUGAGGUGUGCUGACAGCCAUAACAAGCUUCCCUCCUUUGUGUUAGCACUAAACUACAAGGCAAGACAGAAAUAAUAUGCUGAAGAGCUCGGCCUUGGGUAUCCACUGCUGCCUACUGUCUUACUGCUGUGUUGAGGCUGAACUGCUGGGUCCCAAUCCUGAACCUCAUUGUAUCCUCUGCUGCUCCUCUCUUGAUGCUGUGUUGAAGCUGAAGUACUGGCCCCCUGCACGUUGGAGAUGCUUUUGAUAGAAGUAGUGCAAAUGACGAAGUACACAUUAAUUCCUGUUCUAGUGUAAUUCAAGCAUAAACUGGUAGUUUGCCAAUUUGUUUUGAAGAAAUUAUGCAAAUUGUGUUAUAGCUACAUCAAAAAGUUCCAAGAUUUCUAGGCCAUUGGUACCAGCAAUAUAUUCACCGUUUAACAAUCUAGUAUGCUUUUAAAAUUAAACCUUUGUUUUUGUAUUUUCUGCCAAUGAUUUCUACCAUUCUGUGUUCAGAUUGCAAUAUUUAAUAUGUAGCUAAUGAGAACAUAUUGCACCAUAAAGUCAUGAUGAUGGACCAGAACCUUGAAGUACUUGUGGACAUAUUGAACUUUUAUUUAUAAUGUGUUUAAUUUAAAGAAGAUGUAUAGCCAAAAGAUGGCUGUCGAUCUAAAUUCUGUGGCUGUUUGGAAAUGACGUCUGGAAUGUCACACCUGAAGGAGUCAAGAGAACUUCAAACCAUAAACUUCAAAGGGCGAGAGGAAAGUCAAACUGGACUGUGAUCUUCUGUAGGUACAUGGAUAGCUAUGCUGAAUACGUCUGCUCUCAGUAGAAAGCCAACUUCCACUGAUUAUGUCCCAAAUUGCAGACAUGUUAUAUUCUCCCUCUUUAAAAGUACUCAAGUAUGGGAGUUAGAAACCAAUUCUGCUUCUGGUCUGUGUGUGCUAAUAGGCAAGGGUGGGUUCUUUACAGUUAAAAUGAAAAUAAGUCUUUCUCUCUCUCUUUAUCUUUUUCUCACUCUCUCUCCCUGUUUCUCACUUUUUCUCUAUCUUUUUAUUACAAAACUGAAAGCAAGUAAAAUUGCUGUUAGAAGGAAACAUGACAAAGGCCUUUCAGGUCAUCUGCAAAGCCAAGCAGCUUGAAAUCAACCACUUGCCCACCAACUUCAGAGACAUUGGUAUCACCUAACAUGACAGCUGCAAUAUCCCAUUGUCUACACUUUAUGGAACUCAGAGAUUUAUCCGUAUACCUUUUUUAACAUUUCUCAUUUUUUAGGCUCACCCCUUAUUUCUAACGUCUGUGUAUAUUAACUCAAAAAAGAAACUCAAAAAAAGAGUAAAAAUAAUUGUAUUUUCUCACAAUCUUCACUGCUAUCUCACAUUCUCUGAAUGGUGUUGGGCGAUAAGGAGAUAAUGUUUGCCGCCAAACUAUUAACAGUUAUGGAUGACAUUCUCCUAAUAGUUGCUGUUAAAUUCAUAUUUCUUCCUCACAUUCUCAAAACUUAGUUCUGUAUUAACAGGGGUAUAUGAAAUGGAGAGACAAUAGAAGCAUAACAUUUUUCGUUAAAAUGCAGUUGAAUAUGAUUAUUUUUUUCUUGUGUAGUAAAUGAUAUUGCAGAUCUAACAGUAUAUGGCAUAAUGCUUAUCUGCAAUAUUUUAAAUAUAACAUGCCUGAAAUAUAUAAAGAAGGAAGCACUAAGCAAUACAAGUUAAAGCUAAACAUUUUGUGCUUGUCUCCAUACAUCACUGACAAUGUACAACAGGGAAGGUGCAGAUGCCCCAUUCUACGGAAUUAUACUUUCUCAGAAGAUGAAAAUAGUCACCAAAAAGAAAAAAUUCUAGCAAGAUAUUCUUGCUUAAAAAUUGAACUUAGCAGACAAUAUUAGUUCCAAUUGCUAAUUAACAAAAAUUUAAACAUACCUGGUGUUUUAAACCUGAAAUCAAAAGUUUAGCAUGUAAUAACACUGAAAUGGUGUGUUCGAAAAUUAAAUAUGUCCCAAGCCAAGAAAUUCAAGUGCAUCUACAAAAUUGGCAACUACCUGACGAUGUGGAAAAUUGGCCAGGCAUGCCCUACCCUCAACAAAUAGGAUAAAUGAAACCUGGCUAAUUACCAUUUCUUUGGACUUCUCUCAGUCAUCAGAAAAUUAAUGGAAGGACUAUCGAUAGUAUUCUCAGCAACUUGCUCAGUGAUGCUCAGUCUGGGUUCCAUCAAGGUUACUUAGCUUCUAACCUUGCAUUAAACAUGGAUGAAAGACUUGAACUCCAUUGAUAAGGUGACAGUGACUAACCUUGACAUUAAGGCAGCACUUGACAAAGUAUAGCAUCAAGGAGCUUUGCGAAAGCAGAAACAAAGGAAUCAUGGGGGAGAUCAUGGUCCAUCAUUCAGAGCACAAAAGAAGAAGGUUGUUGUUCUUGGAGGUCAAUCAUCACUCCAAAUGUUCCUCAGGGAAUUGAGGCCUGACCAUCUUCAGCCAUUUCAUCAGCGACCUUCCUUCCAUCAUAAGAUCAAAUAUAAGAAUGUUCACUCAUAAUUGUGCAGUGCUUGGCACCGAUGAGAGAAUCUAACCAUCAUACCUUGAUGUUUAAUGACAUUGCCAUCAUUGAAUCCACAACCAUCAACUUCCUGGAGAUUUCCAAGGUCAACAAAUGCAUCAGAGCAGCACUAUCUGCAAGUUCCCCUCCAAGCUACGCCCUACCAGCUGUGGAAGUAUAUCACCAUUUCUUCACUGUCAUUGUCAAAAUCCUGAAACUCACUUCCUAGCAGAACUGCAGGUGUACGUACACCUCAUGAACUGCAGCAGUUCAAGAAAGCAAGCUUACCACCAGCUUCUCAAAUAUAAUUAUGGAUAGGUAACAAGUACUGGCCUAACCAGCAUUUCCUGUAUCUUCUGAAUGAAUAGUUAAAAAAUGAAUAGUGUUAUAGUGAAAUCGUACCACAGUCACCUUGGUGAAAGAUAUAUCAAGUAUUUUUCCCACUACCAUACUUCCUUUUCUUUGUUGGGUUCUAAAAGGCCAUACCUGGUCUAGUGUGGUAGUUUAUUACAAAUCUUCAUUGGACCACACUAAAUUUGACAAAGACUCAUUAGUAAUUCCAAAAACCAUUUUGUUGCUUAUGAAUUCUGACUUCAAAGAUCCAUAAUUAUAUUUUUUCUACUAACGUAUAAAGUUCAUUAAUGAAAUUAUCUAUGAAUUCCCCUAGAUACUGAAUUCUUCUGUCAAAUCUUAUCUUUCAAGAAUAUUGUUUGUUUUAAGGUUAAAAUGAUUGCAAAAGCUUUCAAAAGUUCAUCAAAAGUAUCUGUUUCUUUUUAUAAGCCUUGGUGAGUUAUAAUGUACGAAAAGCAAUAUAGUAGUCCCCAUUGAAUAUAAACAUGUAUUUACUUGAUUUGUUUUUAAUUUAGUUUGGAAGCAAUUCUGUAUCAUAAGAACUGGUCUCUGCAAGGUGUCCAACUCCAUGAUCUAUUUGGACCAUGUCUGAAAUUAAAUCUUCCUGGAAAAUUAUUUCUGUUGCCAUGUUUUACUAAUGUUAUUUAUUUUAUUAAAUUUCUCAUUUUUACUUCUGCAGUAACUUAAUGUUGCUUCACGCUACAUUCUUUAAAGGAUUUCAUUA
Long non-coding RNA from Rhincodon typus (whale shark), 4386 nucleotides. RefSeq lists it as uncharacterized. The record is from RefSeq and is a predicted model, not a curated record. NCBI's taxonomy places the organism in Eukaryota, Metazoa, Chordata, Chondrichthyes, Orectolobiformes, Rhincodontidae. The transcript is spliced from 5 exons.